Molecule: ribosomal RNA, 253 nt
Filed under: uncultured Rikenellaceae bacterium
Lineage: Bacteria; Pseudomonadati; Bacteroidota; Bacteroidia; Bacteroidales; Rikenellaceae
Description: partial 16S ribosomal RNA
Rfam family: Bacterial small subunit ribosomal RNA
Source: RNAcentral
UACGGAGGAUCCAAGCGUUAUCCGGAUUUAUUGGGUUUAAAGGGUGCGUAGGCGGUUUUAUAAGUUAGAGGUGAAAAUUCGGGGCUCAACUCCGGACGUGCCUCUAAUACUGUAUGACUAGAGAAUAGAUGCGGUAGGCGGAAUGUAUGGUGUAGCGGUGAAAUGCGUAGAGAUCAUACAGAACACCGAUUGCGAAGGCAGCUUACCAGACUGCGACUGACGCUGAAGCACGAGAGCGUGGGUAGCGAACAGG